RNAcentral lists this ribosomal RNA (253 nucleotides) under uncultured bacterium. Its description in RNAcentral is "partial 16S ribosomal RNA". It matches the Rfam family "Bacterial small subunit ribosomal RNA", at positions 524 to 776 of the family's 1533-position model. The record is from RNAcentral.
UACAGAGGUCCCAAGCGUUGUUCGGAUUCAUUGGGCGUAAAGGGUGCGUAGGCGGCUCGGUAAGUCGGGUGUGAAAUCUCGGAGCUUAACUCCGAAACUGCAUUCGAUACUGCCGUGCUUGAGGACUGGAGAGGAGACUGGAAUUUACGGUGUAGCGGUGAAAUGCGUAGAUAUCGUAAGGAAGACCAGUGGCGAAGGCGGGUCUCUGGACAGUUCCUGACGCUGAGGCACGAAGGCCAGGGGAGCAAACAGG